CCAGACUCCUACGGGAGGCAGCAGCUAAGAAUCUUCCGCAAUGGGCGAAAGCCUGACGGAGCGAUGCCGCGUGAGUGAAGAAGGCGGGAACGUUGUAAAACUCUUUUCUCGGGGAGGAAUAAGGAGGGGAGGAAAUGCCCCUUUGAUGACGCGAACCGAGGAAGAAGCCCCGGCUAAUUACGUGCCAGCAGCCGCGGUAACACGUAAGGGGCAAGCGUUGUUCGGAAUUAUUGGGCGUAAAGGGCGCGUAGGCGGCGAUAUAAGCCUGGUGUGAAAGACUUCAGCUUAACUGGAGAGCCGCGCUGGGAACUAUGUUGCUUGAGUAUAGGAGGGGGAGCUGGAAUUCCAGGUGUAGGGGUGAAAUCUGUAGAUAUCUGGAAGAACACCGGAGGCGAAGGCGAGCUCCUGGCCAUAUACUGACGCUGAGGCGCGAAAGCGUGGGGAGCGAACAGGAUUAGAUACCCUGGUAGUCCACGCUGUAAACGUUGUGCACUAGGUGUCGGACUUACGGGUUCGGUACCGAAGUUAACGCGAUAAGUGCACCGCCUGGGGAGUAUGCUCGCAAGGGUGAAACUCAAAGGAAUUGACGGGGGCCCGCACAAGCGGUGGAGCAUGUGGUUUAAUUCGAUGAUACGCGAGAAACCUUACCAGGGUUUGACAUAUAGCAGACGGUCGUAGAGAUACGGCUUCCCUUCGGGGCUGUUAUACAGGUGCUGCAUGGCUGUCGUCAGCUCGUGCUGUGAAGUGUUGGGUUAAGUCCCGCAACGAGCGCAACCCCUACUGUCUGUUACCAUCAUUAAGUUGGGGACUCAGACGGUACUGCCGGUGACAAACCGGAGGAAGGUGGGGAUGACGUCAAGUCAUCAUGGCCCUUAUGUCCUGGGCUACACACGUGCUACAAUGGCCGGUACAGAGCGCAGCAAAACCGCGAGGUGGAGCAAAUCGCAGAAAGCCGGUCUCAGUACAGAUUGGAGUCUGAAACUCGACUCCAUGAAGCUGGAAUCGCUAGUAAUCGCACAUCAGCAUGGUGCGGUGAAUACGUUCCCGGGCCUUGUACACACCGCCCGUCACACCACCCGAGUUGGGGGUACCCGAAGUCGCUCGUCUAACCGGCAA
RNAcentral lists this ribosomal RNA (1116 nucleotides) under uncultured organism. RNAcentral's name for it is "bacterial SSU rRNA". It matches the Rfam family "Bacterial small subunit ribosomal RNA", at positions 331 to 1444 of the family's 1533-position model. The record is from RNAcentral.